GUAGUUGAACCUGCGGAAGGAUCAUUA
RNAcentral lists this non-coding RNA (27 nucleotides) under Gallus gallus (chicken). The record is from RNAcentral. RNAcentral also lists the same sequence under 1 other name. Lineage: Eukaryota; Metazoa; Chordata; Aves; Galliformes; Phasianidae.